RNAcentral lists this ribosomal RNA (293 nucleotides) under uncultured bacterium. Its description in RNAcentral is "partial 16S ribosomal RNA". It matches the Rfam family "Bacterial small subunit ribosomal RNA", at positions 775 to 1067 of the family's 1533-position model. The record is from RNAcentral.
GGAUUAGAUACCCUGGUAGUCCUAGCCGUAAACGGUGUGCACUUGGUGUGGGAGGAUUUGACCCCUUCCGUGCCGUAGCUAACGCGUUAAGUGCACCGCCUGGGGAGUACGGCCGCAAGGCUAAAACUCAAAGAAAUUGACGGGGGCCCGCACAAGCGGAGGAGCAUGUGGCUUAAUUCGAUGCAACGCGAAGAACCUUACCUGGGAUUGACAUAGUACUGCACGCCCCGUGAAAGCGGGGUUCCUUCGAGGGUGUACUACAGGUGCUGCAUGGCUGUCGUCAGCUCGUGCUG